RNAcentral lists this ribosomal RNA (438 nucleotides) under uncultured bacterium. RNAcentral's name for it is "bacterial SSU rRNA". It matches the Rfam family "Bacterial small subunit ribosomal RNA", at positions 28 to 479 of the family's 1533-position model. The record is from RNAcentral.
GACGAACGCUGGCGGCGCGCCUAACACAUGCAAGUCGAACGAGCGAGAGAGAGCUUGCUUUCUCGAGCGAGUGGCGAACGGGUGAGUAACGCGUGAGGAACCUGCCUCAAAGAGGGGGACAACAGUUGGAAACGACUGCUAAUACCGCAUAAGCCCACGGCUCGGCAUCGAGCAGGGGGAAAAGGAGCAAUCCGCUUUGAGAUGGCCUCGCGUCCGAUUAGCUAGUUGGUGAGGUAAUGGCCCACCAAGGCGACGAUCGGUAGCCGGACUGAGAGGUUGAACGGCCACAUUGGGACUGAGACACGGCCCAGACUCCUACGGGAGGCAGCAGUGGGGAAUAUUGCACAAUGGGGGAAACCCUGAUGCAGCGACGCCGCGUGGAGGAAGAAGGUCUUCGGAUUGUAAACUCCUGUUGUUGGGGAAGAUAAUGACGGUACC